RNAcentral lists this ribosomal RNA (253 nucleotides) under uncultured bacterium. Its description in RNAcentral is "partial 16S ribosomal RNA". It matches the Rfam family "Bacterial small subunit ribosomal RNA", at positions 524 to 776 of the family's 1533-position model. The record is from RNAcentral.
UACGGAGGAUGCAAGCGUUAUCCGGAAUGAUUGGGCGUAAAGCGUCCGCAGGUGGCUGUGUAAGUCUGCUGUUAAAUAGUGAGGCUCAACCUCAUAAAGGCAGUGGAAACUACACGGCUAGAGUGCGUUCGGGGCAGAGGGAAUUCCUGGUGUAGCGGUGAAAUGCGUAGAUAUCAGGAAGAACACCGGUGGCGAAAGCGCUCUGCUAGGCCGCAACUGACACUGAGGGACGAAAGCUAGGGGAGCGAAUGGG